UCUGGUGAUUAUUACAUAAAGGUAACACUCCUUCCCAUAUCGAACAGGUAGGUUAAGCUUUAUUGUGCUUAUGGUACUUCAGAGGAGACUUUGUGGAAGAGCAAGUCGUUGCCGGAU
RNAcentral lists this ribosomal RNA (117 nucleotides) under Clostridium fermenticellae. Lineage: Bacteria; Bacillati; Bacillota; Clostridia; Eubacteriales; Clostridiaceae. The record is from RNAcentral.